UGGCUCAGGAUGAACGCUGGCGGUAUGCCUAACACAUGCAAGUCGAACGGUCACUUCGGUGAUAGUGGCGGACGGGUGAGUAACGCGUGAGAAUCUGCCUCUUGGUUGGGGACAACAGUUGGAAACGACUGCUAAUACCCAAUGUGCCGCAAGGUGAAAGAUUUAUUGCCAAGAGAGGAGCUCGCGUCUGAUUAGCUAGUUGGUAGUGUAAGGGACUACCAAGGCAUCGAUCAGUAGCUGGUCUGAGAGGAUGAGCAGCCACACUGGGACUGAGACACGGCCCAGACUCCUACGGGAGGCAGCAGUGGGGAAUUUUCCGCAAUGGGCGAAAGCCUGACGGAGCAAUACCGCGUGAGGGAGGAAGGCUCUUGGGUUGUAAACCUCUUAUCUUAGGGAAGAACACAAUGACGGUACCUAAGGAAUAAGCAUCGGCUAACUCCGUGCCAGCAGCCGCGGUAAUACGGAGGAUGCAAGCGUUAUCCGGAAUUAUUGGGCGUAAAGCGUCCGUAGGUGGUUUUUCAAGUCUGCUGUCAAAGACCGUGGCUUAACCACGGAAAGGCAGUGGAAACUGAGAGACUAGAGUUCGGUAGGGGUAGCGGGAAUUCCCAGUGUAGCGGUGAAAUGCGUGGAUAUUGGGAAGAACAUCGGUGGCGAAGGCGCGCUACUGGACCGAAACUGACACUCAGAGGACGAAAGCUAGGGGAGCGAAAGGGAUUAGAUACCCCUGUAGUCCUAGCUGUAAACGAUGGAAACUAGGUGUGGCUUGUAUCGACCCGAGCCGUGCCGAAGCUAACGCGUUAAGUUUCCCGCCUGGGGAGUACGCACGCAAGUGUGAAACUCAAA
This 843-nucleotide ribosomal RNA is filed under the name uncultured bacterium. Its description in RNAcentral is "bacterial SSU rRNA". It matches the Rfam family "Bacterial small subunit ribosomal RNA", at positions 20 to 905 of the family's 1533-position model. The record is from RNAcentral.